Unclassified non-coding RNA from Cavia porcellus (domestic guinea pig), 302 nucleotides. Its record names the gene 7SK. It matches the Rfam family "7SK RNA". Rfam says of the family: 7SK was discovered as an abundant small nuclear RNA in the mid-70s but a possible function has only recently been suggested. Two independent studies have found that 7SK RNA binds the CDK9/cyclin T complex (known as elongation factor P-TEFb). P-TEFb activates transcription by phosphorylating the C-terminal domain of RNA polymerase II. NCBI's taxonomy places the organism in Eukaryota, Metazoa, Chordata, Mammalia, Rodentia, Caviidae. The record is from Ensembl.
GGACAUGAGGGUGAUCUGGCUGCGACAUCUACCACCCAUUGAUUGCCAGGUUGGAUUUAGCUGAUCCGGCAGGCUAGGGGGCCAUCCCCAGCCUCCCUCAAUUCUUCAAGUGUGUCUCUCCCGAAGCUGCACACUGGGAGAGGCCCACGUUCAAAAGAGGAGGACCAUUUCCUCCAUCAAGGGUAUAUGGGUAGCUCUGAUCCCCGCUAAAACCUCCAAACAAGCUCUCCAGAGUAAGGGGUGAAAACACCCAAACUUUAGACAGCAGGAAUGGCAGUGAAGUUGUCUUCAGAGUUUCCCUU